This 445-nucleotide ribosomal RNA is filed under the name uncultured bacterium. Its description in RNAcentral is "bacterial SSU rRNA". It matches the Rfam family "Bacterial small subunit ribosomal RNA", at positions 74 to 518 of the family's 1533-position model. The record is from RNAcentral.
CGAAGCUUGCUUUGUGAUGGCGACCGGCGCACGGGUGAGUAACGCGUAUCCAACCUUCCCUAUACUAGAGGAUAGCCCGGCGAAAGUCGGAUUAAUACUCUAUGUUGUAUUUCGAGGACAUCUGAAUAAUACCAAAGGUUUACCGGUAUAGGAUGGGGAUGCGUCUGAUUAGGUUGUUGCGGGUAACGGCCCACCAAGCCCACGAUCAGUAGGGUUCUGAGAGGAAGGUCCCCCACAUUGGAACUGAGACACGGUCCAAACUCCUACGGGAGGCAGCAGUGAGGAAUAUUGGUCAAUGGACGAGAGUCUGAACCAGCCAAGUAGCGUGCAGGAUGACGGCCCUAUGGGUUGUAAACUGCUUUUAUACAGGGAUAAAGUGACGUACGUGUACGUUUUUGUAGGUACUGUAUGAAUAAGGACCGGCUAAUUCCGUGCCAGCAGCGGC